Molecule: ribosomal RNA, 484 nt
Filed under: uncultured bacterium
Lineage: Bacteria
Description: partial 16S ribosomal RNA
Rfam family: Bacterial small subunit ribosomal RNA
Source: RNAcentral
AUUGAACGCUGGCGGCAGGCCUAACACAUGCAAGUCGAGCGGAUGAAGGGUGCUUGCUCCUGGAUUCAGCGGCGGACGGGUGAGUAAUGCCUAGGAAUCUGCCUGGUAGUGGGGGCUAACGUCCGGAAACGGGCGCUAAUACCGCAUACGUCCUGAGGGAGAAAGGGGGGGAUCUUCGGACCUCCCGCUAUCACAUGAGCCUAGGUCGGAUUAGCUAGUUGGUGGGGUAAAGGCCUACCAAGGCGACGAUCCGUAACUGGUCUGAGAGGAUGAUCAGUCACACUGGAACUGAGACACGGUCCAGACUCCUACGGGAGGCAGCAGUGGGGAAUAUUGGACAAUGGGCGAAAGCCUGAUCCAGCCAUGCCGCGUGUGUGAAGAAGGUCUUCGGAUUGUAAAGCACUUUUAGUUGGGAGGAAGAGCAGUAAGUUAAUACCUUGCUGUUUUGACGUUACCAACAGAAUAAGCACCGGCUAACUUCGUG